AUGAUCUUGGCUCCACUGGUCACUUUUAUUUCUCUCAAUGUCUCAUCCUUAGGAACAACCCCCGUAUGCAUGACUUUCUGCAUGGUAGGUGGGAGACCUGGAUUCAAGUGGAUCUUCUGUUCCAGCUCAGAGCCUACGCUGUCCAGUGGGAACUUCACAUCUUGCUCCAUCUUGUUCCAGAUGAUCCACAGGUCCUCCAGCUCCUUGCCCAAGCCGCAGCCUGUGUCCUCGCCAUUGCUGACUGAAGCCUGGGCUGUAGGGUCCUCAGGGGGCCUGGGCUGGGGCCGGUGCAGGAGUCCCCAGCUGUUGCCCCAGCUGCCAUUUCUAUCUUUACGCAGGUCCUGGAGGCAUAAUGAAAGGGAAAAUGCUGAAGUCCCCCAUUCCAAGCGUUCCUGACGCCUGCACCUGCUGUAUAUCAUGCUGAUGGGUGCUGCUGUGCAGGUGAAUUGAUUGUCAUUGGAAGGACCUGUAGCUGUGGGAGGGAGUAGGGUGGAGGUGAAGGAAAAGUGACAGGACCAGGAGAGCAAGAGUGUUGAAGUGUUAAGAAAAAUUUGAAGAAAUUAGAGAUUGGAGAAGAGUAUUUUAUUCAAUGUCCUAUAGAAGCAGAGCUGGACUCUGCCUCUGCCUACUUAACCCCAUAUUCAGAUUGAAGGCAAGUAUGUGCUGAGGCAGGAACAUGGACACUAUAUUUGGACAGAGCUUGGUCAGAUACCAACUCAGCUCCCCUCAGGAUCUCCAUGGCCUUAGGUACCCCACCUAACACUCUGAUUUGGGGUCAUUAUUACCUCUCUUAGAGUGUCAUUGGGAGGAACAAAUA
Molecule: long non-coding RNA, 817 nt
Filed under: Oryctolagus cuniculus (rabbit)
Lineage: Eukaryota; Metazoa; Chordata; Mammalia; Lagomorpha; Leporidae
Description: lncRNA (ENSOCUG00000035904.1)
Source: RNAcentral